UGCUGCUGGACCUAAGCUAAGGCCUGUAC
Molecule: non-coding RNA, 29 nt
Filed under: Rattus norvegicus (Norway rat)
Lineage: Eukaryota; Metazoa; Chordata; Mammalia; Rodentia; Muridae
Source: RNAcentral